GGGGCAGGCGGGAGGCGCUGAGGGACGCGGCCGGCCCGGCACUCACUGCCCGCGGAGCCCCUCGGCGCCGCUCCCCGCCGCCUGACGCCGCCCCUCGGGCCUCACCGGCACGGCCCGGAGCGGGACGUGCCCUCGGGAGGGAGUCUGCCAGGAGCAAUAUGGAGACGGCUUGGAAGUCCUGUGUCCCGCGGUCCCUCGCUGAAAUUUGAUUGGAAAGGCUGGAGCCACAGCAGCUGGGGAGCCACAGAGAGGUACGUCAUUGACAGUGUGCUGCUCCAUGGCCAGCCUGGCUGGUUAGGGCAGUGCUUGUCACAGUUCCGCAGAGACAACACCGGAAAAACACCCUGCACUUACAAAUCACUUAUCUCAAGUUUCCCCUUCAAAUCCACAUUCAGACUGAAGCUGAACAUCAUCCAAAAAUGGUGAGAGAUGACAGGCAUUGAAAAGGUAGCUUCAUUCCAAGCCUGUUCUCCUUGUGAGUCCCUCCUGUAGAAAUAAAACUGUGGUACUUGUGUGUUGUUUUCUUUCU
RNAcentral lists this long non-coding RNA (529 nucleotides) under Manacus vitellinus (golden-collared manakin). RNAcentral describes it as "lncRNA (ENSMVIG00005019143.1)". Lineage: Eukaryota; Metazoa; Chordata; Aves; Passeriformes; Pipridae. The record is from RNAcentral.